RNAcentral lists this long non-coding RNA (4123 nucleotides) under Citrus x clementina. Its description in RNAcentral is "Citrus clementina (C. clementina) long non-coding RNA (CCLE_LNC001854)". The record is from RNAcentral. Lineage: Eukaryota; Viridiplantae; Streptophyta; Magnoliopsida; Sapindales; Rutaceae.
ACGAAACUAUUAUUAUUGAAAUCUUAAAAUUUCAGUGUGUACAAGCAUGUAAAAUGAAAUAAGCAUACAUUAUUGAAAUCAAUCUAUUAUAAGAGUGCAGAGGUAUCAAUUUGUUACAAAAGUGUAGAUGUAUCAAUAUAUUACAAAAGUGCAAAGAUGAUAAUGCAAAAUGGGCAUGCCUGUUAUGUUAUUAACAUAUCAACAUCAAGCUUUCAAUUUAAGACUGAUCAUAUAUAAGAAACUAUUCAUUUUAUCAAGUCUUCUUCGAUGGAGCUUGUGACAUCACUUCGAAAUUCCCUAUUAACUCCAUAUUUUUUAUCUUGUUAAAAGAGUAAGAGGAAGAAUUAGGCAUUAUGGAGGCAUAUAACAAGAUUUGUGGUUGCUAUUAUACAAAAAAUAAACAUCUUGUUAUAAUCAGGGAAAAAUUACAAUAGCAAUGAACAAAUGAAAAAUUAAUCGAACCCUAAAACAAACAUACAUUAAUGUAAUUUUUAUAAAACAAUAAAAAAAAUCAUACUCAUAAAGUCUAAACAAACUUAUAUUACAAUAGUCUAUAAUUUCAUCUGCAUAGAUAUUCCUAUCAAUGCUACUUCCUUCUAUUAGGAUGAUAGUCGCCACUUGAGAGGAUAAUUGAUUGUUUAUUUGUUUAUCCUACAAAGUCAAAAAAAUGAUCAAUUACUUAUGUAAUAAAAUUAUUCAAUUUUAAUUAAUGCUAAAACUUAACUCUGCAUCAUUACUUAAUGCUUUUUUUAAAUUUAGUAAUGUUUUUUGACAUUUUUCUUUGACAAUGCCAAGGUAAAUGAUCUCUAGGAUAGUUAUCUACUAGAUCAUGUAUUCAUUUGGCUGCAUUCUUUGUUACUCUCACAUUAUUACUACAACUUCCUUGACUUGUAACAACAUUUGUUUGGUUACCAUCGCAUUGAAUUGUCUUUGAUAGGUCUUUCUAUACAUUCUAAAUCUAAUUUAAAACAAGUUUAAAACCUUCAACAUCUGAUGUAACCAUGUUUGCAACAUCUACAAAACUAACACAUAUUUUCUCAUAUCGCUUUGGUUCAUCUAUGCAACUUUGCAGCUCAUGGCUCAUUUUCACCCUACAUCCUUUUUCCGUCUUCAUAGGAUGUACUUUUCUAGAAAAACUUAUAUGUCGUUGCAUAUCAUGAAUAUAAUGGCAUACCUGAAAAAAAUUCCUCUAAACUAGAAUCUUAAACAACUAAAACUAAUUUCAACCUUAUCUUUUUCAGAAUGGACUUAAAAAAAUGUUCUCUUCUUACUUUCUCAUCUUUGACAUCUUCUCUAACUAUAUAUUUAGAUCCCACAUAAUUGACAAAUUCACAAUACAUCUUUGUAGUCAACUCUUGCUAAAAUUCUUAAAACUUUAAAAUAGUGUACACCUCUCAAACUUGCUUCUCUAUCUCAUAAGAUGUUACACAUGGAAUUUGUUAGGAAAGACGCCUGACAUAUUCUUCAACUUCUUUUUCACUUUUACUCCUUAAUCCAUUUUCAUAUUCAUAUUCCAAAAUCAUGUGAUGUUAAGUUUCCUCAAAAUUUAUAGUCUUCUAAAUCAUAAAGAAAACAAUGCAUAACAUCACUAAUAUCACCAUAUAUUUUAUAGCUCCUUAACAUAUUUUGAAUUUUCUUAAGUAUAUGGCACAAAAACCAUCGAUGUUAAAUGUUGGCAAAAGCAUCCUCAAUUAUAUUUUUCAUUGCUCUAUCUUGGUCUGUAAUUAUUUUGAUGGGAGCAAAAUUAGAUAUACAUGAUAGUCAAGUCUGAAAUAACCACAUGAAUAUCUCAAUGUCCUUGUGUGAAACUAAUCAACAUCAUGGAAAAAUAGAAUGACCAUGCUCCAAGCUCUUUGCAGGCUUUCCAACUCCUUGCCCCAAUAGAAAAUACAUUUUUUAAUUGACUCUCAACAUCUACUAGCAUAAUAAAGAGAAACAUAUUGUCUUCUACUUGCAUUUUCAUAAAAUAGUCUUGAAUAAUAAUAACAUCUCCAUCUCCGAGCCAUAAUCGUCUUUCUUUCUAAACAUGAUAUAUGUCCUCUCUUUUUAUGAAUGCCACAUUUUCAUAGCCACCCGACUCAAUAACAAGUGAGUGAUAGUUGUGUCACAUUUUAGUUCCUACUCAAUCAUUUACAUUAAGAUUCAUUUUUGCAUAUGCACCUAGGCUAUUAUUGUAUCGAAAGUGCCUAGACUUAGUAGGAGUCAAUAUUAUAUGGUUGUGUUCAAGGUUUAAAAUUCGAACCUUCCACUUUCUAUUUUCCUCUAAACGUCCUUUAAAUUUAGCAUUCCAACCUGUUUUUCCACUAGAUUGGGGCUUAAGAUAUUAAUGGACUUGUUUAGCUUCUUGUCUCACCGCUUCAGCUACAAGCAAAACUCAGAUGCCUUAUACUCCCAUCACUCUCUUUUUGCUAUUUCUCUGCAAACCUUUUUCUUUUUAACAUAAUUUUUGUAAUAAAUAGGCAUUUCAAUAUCACUAUCAAUUAUCAAAUGACAUCCCAAUCAUCGUCCUCUUCAAUUUUCUCUAACCCUUCAACUUUAGUAGUUGUUUCCAUAUUUUUUAUUUCUACAAAAUGAAUAUAAUCACAUUAACAUACUUAAAAAAGUAAAAGAUUACUAAAGAGAGAGCCAUAUAUAAGUUAUAUAUGCUUUAAGUUACAAAAAAUAAUGAUCAAUUGCAAAUUUUUAUGUCAAUCUUGAAUAAAACCGAUUCUUUGUUUCCUCCAACAACAUGAAAUUAUUAUAUCAAUUCCGAAUAAAAUAGUGACAAUAAAUAAGAAAAAGAGAAUUGCUUCCUCUUUCAAUAUGAAAUCCAGUUCAUAAUAACAAAAAUUAAAUAAUUCACCAAUUCUUUAUUUCCAAAUAACUCAAAUUUUGAAUAGCAUAAUCAUGAACACACUUUGAAUCCUAACAGAUAAUUCACCAAUUUUAAACCCUAAAUAAGACAAAUUUUAAAUUAUUGAAAUGAAUUGAAGGAAAUUACCAUCAAAGAUGCAGUUGUCGAUUCUCCUGAGAGGCCAUAAUUACUAUGAAUAGCCAUAUUAAUGAUGAGGGACGCAUUUUUUCUAUGCUACCAUACUUGCUCUCGUAUUCUUCCCAAGUUCGGCUGAGGAAGAGUUACGAGGCAUAAAACAAAUAUAUGUAUGUAUGCAUAUAUGUGUGUGUGUCUCUCUCUCUCUCUAUAUAUAUAUGCUGAUUUGGGUUCGGAAUACUUUUUUUAUUUACCAUUCAUGGUAAAUAAAUAAAAAAGUAAGACUACUCCAUUUUGACAAAAGACCCACAACUAAAUUCUAUAGCUUUUGGUCCACUGUCCCGAUCAUGAUUUUCCUACCCCUAGAGGGAAGGGCCCUAAGCCUUGAGAAUGUCUAUUACGGCGUUUGUCGGUGAUGAGACCAGGGCGGUGCCGAAGAUGAUAUAAUAGAGACAAGGCUGAUUGAAUUUGGGAGAAGAGAGAGUGAGCGAGCGAGAUGUGAGAGAGCCGAGUUAUUUGAUUUGGGAGAGGAUUUAAAGCAAGCCCAAAAUGCAGCGUGUUUUACCCACUAUUGUACUCAUUAUUGUAAGAAUAUCAUUAUUGUAUCAGAAAUAGUUGGCCUUAAACAUAACUCAACAUUACACAAUGUGGGAUCAGUUUUAUGUCUAAUUGGGUCAUAUAUUUUCUAUGUGAGAGAUGCUGUGGUGAUACAGUACGAGGCCAAGAUUUGAAGCACUUUCCAGCGUUUGCUUAUUGUAUGGUCUCUAAGCCAUCUGAGAAUAUUAGGAUUUAGGAGAUUUGUGAAGAGGCUGGCUUGUGGUGAAUGUCUUUAAUGUGUGGAACACAUUUUCACACAUUUCUAUCUUAACGAUUAGGGUUCCACAUAAAAGCAAAAUGCAAGUUAAGGUUGAUGUUCCACAUACUUGCCGUAAAGAGUCUACAUUUUCUUUUAAUAUUUCUUAACUUUUCAAGAAUCUUGGUAAGUUUAAUAAGUGACUAAUGCCGCAAUUCCAAAAAAGCUAUCAUAUAUAAUUGUUAGUAAGUGACUACUGCGGCAAUACCAAAUAAACUCUCACAUUAGUAGAAACUCAAAUGUUAAGAUUAUAAUUAGGAUAACAUUAUAGUAUAAAAGCAAAAACAUAUUGUAUUGAGCAU